Molecule: non-coding RNA, 66 nt
Organism: Trichonephila clavipes
Lineage: Eukaryota; Metazoa; Arthropoda; Arachnida; Araneae; Nephilidae
Source: the annotation of a GenBank genome assembly
GGUAAAGCUCAGUGGUAGAGUAUUCGACUGCACAUCGAGUCCCCGGUUCAAACCCGGGUUGCCCCU